CCGGGUGAGCUGGAAUUGCCUGGGUCAGACUGAGUGGGGCCUAGCUAAGGAGAAAGCAGGGGCCCAAGCUGAGCUAGGGAGCAGAGCCGGGCCAGAUCCAGAGGGGCCAGAGGCGCAGCCACAGAGCCAGAGACGCAGCCCAGGGAGAGCAGAUCCUGUGCUGGGAGCAGAGCUGCAGCCACAGAGCCAGUUUGCCUCCAGCAUUUGCAUUACUUUUCAUUCCAAGCACGACAUGAAGGAUUUGCCUGAAAACAGGAUCUUUGUUUCUCAACAGUGCAUCUGCUCAUUAUUUUCCCCAUCUUGGAGUCCUAAGAAUCCUUUGUUGGUUAAAUUACAUCCAGUUCCACAGCAACCAAUUGUCAUGCUACUGACCAAGCUUGUGACAUCAUCAGGUGCACAUCUGAACUGAGUCUGAAGAUUCUAUUUCUGCACAAAUGCCUUGGAAAGAGGAAAUCUGGGACGUACACAUAGAGAAGCAGGAAUGUUACUGGAAAAUAUUGGGCCAGAUCCUCAGCUGUUGUAAAUUUGUUCUUGUAUGAGACUGUGACACAGAGAUCCAUUGGUGGUUCACUACUCUGUGUCAGCAAUUCUUGUGGGGCUUGAUAUACUCACCACACCUAACACACUGUUGUCAUAGUAUAUCCCCAAAAGGUCCAGUAAUAUAGCACUGGAAAACUAAUAACUCACUGAUCAUUAAUAUUCUUGCGUGGUGUAUGGAGGGGGUGUGCACAGAGUUAUAAAUACUUGCUAGAAUUAUGUUCUUAAAAUGUGCUUGGCAAGCAAUGCAUAAGCCCAGUCUGUCCUGGACAAAGAAAUGUGUAUUUGCCUGUCUGUACCAGCCUGGUCAUCGAUGAAGUGACAAUGAAGGUACAUCUAUAAACAAGCUAAACAAAGCCAUCAAACUAGUGGGGGAGACAGCCUCUUAGGUAUGUAAACAGAGGGAUCUGGACCUCAACUGAUAAGCAGUUGAAUCAACUCAUUCUAUACAAUGUUACUGUAUUACGCAAAUGUAUUCUGUAAGGGCUUUUAUGUGACAUACUGGGAAUUAAAUAUCACUGUGAAAUGUCUGCAUUAA
Malaclemys terrapin pileata is the source of this 1075-nucleotide long non-coding RNA. RefSeq lists it as uncharacterized. The record is from RefSeq and is a predicted model, not a curated record. NCBI's taxonomy places the organism in Eukaryota, Metazoa, Chordata, Testudines, Emydidae. The transcript has 2 exons.